Molecule: ribosomal RNA, 252 nt
Filed under: uncultured bacterium
Lineage: Bacteria
Description: partial 16S ribosomal RNA
Rfam family: Bacterial small subunit ribosomal RNA
Source: RNAcentral
UACGGAGGAUGCGAGCGUUAUCCGGAUUUAUUGGGUUUAAAGGGUGCGUAGGCGGAUCGUUAAGUCAGUGGUCAAAUUGAGGGGCUCAACCCCUUCCCGCCAUUGAAACUGGCGAUCUUGAGUGGAAGAGAAGUAUGCGGAAUGCGUGGUGUAGCGGUGAAAUGCAUAGAUAUCACGCAGAACCCCGAUUGCGAAGGCAGCAUGCCGGCUUCCUACUGACGCUGAGGCACGAAAGCGUGGGGAUCGAACAGG